UUGAUAGCAUCAUGUUGAUUACAAAAACUGCCAUUUUGGAAAAUGGGAGGCAUUCUAUGAUGACUUUGGUAUUUUCACCCACUAAAAUCAAUGGUUAUUGGUUGUUUGUUUGAUUAUAAAACAUGUUCAAAGAAAAUGGUUUGUACCCUAGAAUAUUGUUACGUGUUUGUAGAUGUAGAUUAUCCAAGUUAGAGGAUUGUUUGUGUUAGUGUUGACAACUGGUGUUUUGACAACCUUAGCGGUAGUCAUCUUCUGAAGAUUUACAUCUACAAACUUGGUUAAAAGACAAAGCCAAAGUAGAAAAACCACAUGCUACACAUCAGCUAAAAAAAGUUUAUUUUAACAUCAUAACAAUCAAUUGUAAUUGACGCAUUAUGCUAAACAAAGCUCACUCCAACUCUCUUUCCCAUAAGUUCCUUGUUUAGUUGUGUCCUUGAGUAAAUUUUCCCUUUUGCACAACCAACAUCUUUCUUUCCUUUAAUCUAGCAACAGUGCCUUCAGUUCAAAGAUAUUUUUAACACAAUCUCUGAAAAACAAGGUGAUGAAGACAGUUUUCAAAAAUAGAUGGCAACUUUUAACUAUCUACUGAAAAAGCAAUAGUCAAUGAAUAUACGUAAACAUUGAAAAGGAUAGGGUAGUAUUUGAACAUUACUAAAAAAAAAUUAUUGGGUAAAAAUUAAGACUAUAGUGACAAUCAUUCAUCACAACCACCACCGGGCUCAUGGUUUUUCAGAGCAUAUUUAGGCAAUGAAAAAUAUGUCACUGAUGUGAGUAUUGGUUGUGAUGAAUGGAAACGAAUAGCCUUUUCUCUUAUUUUAUCUAAAAUAUCUAAUAAGACAUGAAUACAUCCAUGAAUGACCUGAAGAAAAUAAAUGAGCAGUCGUUCAAUCUGUGAUAUAGGAAAUAAAAUAAGUGUGUUGUGAGUUUUGGUGGAGGUAAACACGACCUAGAAAACUGGGUCCAACAGAACCUGAGAUACUCAAGUUUUAAUGUUUCACUGAAAAUUCCAACUUGAAACUUUUUAGAGAACGAUGUUUGCCGGAAAGGUUUUACUUUGACGAAAGAAGACAACGUUAAAAUACAUUACAAGGUUUACAAAAAGACUUUAUCUAGCGUGUAUGGUAUGAGCGAGAAACGAAGAAGUGGUUUGAUCAUAUGCAACCUACCAUAUGGCAUAUUGAUUACAACGUAUAGUGGCUCAACUGACAAGGCGAGGGACGUCAUUAAACUUGUUGAAGAUGCGUGCACGUUACUCCGAAGUUAGAGACAGAGAUUUAAUGUCGUAGAACUCUGAAAACUCAGUCCCUAGCUUACACUAGUUGUCGUUACGAUACUUCAUGGAUUGUACAGUGAUUACCGUCAACCUAAUGUAUCAGUGUAUUUCUAUGAUUUCGUAACAUGUUAUAUCACCAAUGCAAUAAAUUAAAUAUUCCGGAAAUUA
This is a long non-coding RNA of Xenia sp. Carnegie-2017, 1441 nucleotides long. RefSeq lists it as uncharacterized. The record is from RefSeq and is a predicted model, not a curated record. Lineage: Eukaryota; Metazoa; Cnidaria; Anthozoa; Malacalcyonacea; Xeniidae. The transcript is spliced from 3 exons.